GACGAACGCUGGCGGCGUGCUUAACACAUGCAAGUCGAACGGAAAGGCCCUGCUUUUGUGGGGUGCUCGAGUGGCGAACGGGUGAGUAACACGUGAGUAACCUGCCCUUGACUUUGGGAUAACUUCAGGAAACUGGGGCUAAUACCGGAUAGGAGCUCCUGCUGCAUGGUGGGGGUUGGAAAGUUUCGGCGGUUGGGGAUGGACUCGCGGCUUAUCAGCUUGUUGGUGGGGUAGUGGCUUACCAAGGCUUUGACGGGUAGCCGGCCUGAGAGGGUGACCGGCCACAUUGGGACUGAGAUACGGCCCAGACUCCAACGGGAGGCAGCAGUGGGGAAUAUUGCACAAUGGGCGGAAGCCUGAGGCAGCAACGCCGCGUGCGGGAUGACGGCCUUCGGGUUGUAAACCGCUUUCGCCUGUGACGAAGCGUGAGUGACGGUAAUGGGUAAAGAAGCACCGGCUAACUACGUG
RNAcentral lists this ribosomal RNA (468 nucleotides) under uncultured bacterium. RNAcentral's name for it is "partial 16S ribosomal RNA". It matches the Rfam family "Bacterial small subunit ribosomal RNA", at positions 28 to 507 of the family's 1533-position model. The record is from RNAcentral.